UGCAGAAAGCUCUGGGUGUGCGGCAGUA
Molecule: non-coding RNA, 28 nt
Filed under: Homo sapiens (human)
Lineage: Eukaryota; Metazoa; Chordata; Mammalia; Primates; Hominidae
Source: RNAcentral